GUCUGAAUAUGGGGGGCCCAUCCUCCAAGGCUAAAUACUCCUGACUGACCGAUAGUGAACCAGUACCGUGAGGGAAAGGCGAAAAGAACCCCGGCGAGGGGAGUGAAAAAGAACCUGAAACCGUGUACGUACAAGCAGUGGGAGCACGCUUAGGCGUGUGACUGCGUACCUUUUGUAUAAUGGGUCAGCGACUUAUAUUCUGUAGCAAGGUUAACCGAAUAGGGGAGCCGAAGGGAAACCGAGUCUUAACUGGGCGUUAAGUUGCAGGGUAUAGACCCGAAACCCGGUGAUCUAGCCAUGGGCAGGUUGAAGGUUGGGUAACACUAACUGGAGGACCGAACCGACUAAUGUUGAAAAAUUAGCGGAUGACUUGUGGCUGGGGGUGAAAGGCCAAUCAAACCGGGAGAUAGCUGGUUCUCCCCGAAAGCUAUUUAGGUAGCGCCUCGUGAAUUCAUCUCCGGGGGUAGAGCACUGUUUCGGCAAGGGGGUCAUCCCGACUUACCAACCCGAUGCAAACUGCGAAUACCGGAGAAUGUUAUCACGGGAGACACACGGCGGGUGCUAACGUCCGUCGUGAAGAGGGAAACAACCCAGACCGCCAGCUAAGGUCCCAAAGUCAUGGUUAAGUGGGAAACGAUGUGGGAAGGCCCAGACAGCCAGGAUGUUGGCUUAGAAGCAGCCAUCAUUUAAAGAAAGCGUAAUAGCUCACUGGUCGAGUCGGCCUGCGCGGAAGAUGUAACGGGGCUAAACCAUGCACCGAAGCUGCGGCAGCGACGCUUAUGCGUUGUUGGGUAGGGGAGCGUUCUGUAAGCCUGCGAAGGUGUGCUGUGAGGCAUGCUGGAGGUAUCAGAAGUGCGAAUGCUGACAUAAGUAACGAUAAAGCGGGUGAAAAGCCCGCUCGCCGGAAGACCAAGGGUUCCUGUCCAACGUUAAUCGGGGCAGGGUGAGUCGACCCCUAAGGCGAGGCCGAAAGGCGUAGUCGAUGGGAAACAGGUUAAUAUUCCUGUACUUGGUGUUACUGCGAAGGGGGGACGGAGAAGGCUAUGUUGGCCGGGCGACGGUUGUCCCGGUUUAAGCGUGUAGGCUGGUUUUCCAGGCAAAUCCGGAAAAUCAAGGCUGAGGCGUGAUGACGAGGCACUACGGUGCUGAAGCAACAAAUGCCCUGCUUCCAGGAAAAGCCUCUAAGCAUCAGGUAACAUCAAAUCGUACCCCAAACCGACACAGGUGGUCAGGUAGAGAAUACCAAGGCGCUUGAGAGAACUCGGGUGAAGGAACUAGGCAAAAUGGUGCCGUAACUUCGGGAGAAGGCACGCUGAUAUGUAGGUGAAGUCCCUUGCGGAUGGAGCUGAAAUCAGUCGAAGAUACCAGCUGGCUGCAACUGUUUAUUAAAAACACAGCACUGUGCAAACACGAAAGUGGACGUAUACGGUGUGACGCCUGCCCGGUGCCGGAAGGUUAAUUGAUGGGGUCAGCGCAAGCGAAGCUCUUGAUCGAAGCCCCGGUAAACGGCGGCCGUAACUAUAACGGUCCUAAGGUAGCGAAAUUCCUUGUCGGGUAAGUUCCGACCUGCACGAAUGGCGUAAUGAUGGCCAGGCUGUCUCCACCCGAGACUCAGUGAAAUUGAACUCGCUGUGAAGAUGCAGUGUACCCGCGGCAAGACGGAAAGACCCCGUGAACCUUUACUAUAGCUUGACACUGAACAUUGAGCCUUGAUGUGUAGGAUAGGUGGGAGGCUUUGAAGUGUGGACGCCAGUCUGCAUGGAGCCGGCCUUGAAAUACCACCCUUUAAUGUUUGAUGUUCUAACGUGGACCCGUGAUCCGGGUUGCGGACAGUGUCUGGUGGGUAGUUUGACUGGGGCGGUCUCCUCCUAAAGAGUAACGGAGGAGCACGAAGGUUGGCUAAUCCUGGUCGGACAUCAGGAGGUUAGUGCAAUGGCAUAAGCCAGCUUGACUGCGAGCGUGACGGCGCGAGCAGGUGCGAAAGCAGGUCAUAGUGAUCCGGUGGUUCUGAAUGGAAGGGCCAUCGCUCAACGGAUAAAAGGUACUCCGGGGAUAACAGGCUGAUACCGCCCAAGAGUUCAUAUCGACGGCGGUGUUUGGCACCUCGAUGUCGGCUCAUCACAUCCUGGGGCUGAAGUAGGUCCCAAGGGUAUGGCUGUUCGCCAUUUAAAGUGGUACGCGAGCUGGGUUUAGAACGUCGUGAGACAGUUCGGUCCCUAUCUGCCGUGGGCGCUGGAGAACUGAGGGGGGCUGCUCCUAGUACGAGAGGACCGGAGUGGACGCAUCACUGGUGUUCGGGUUGUCAUGCCAAUGGCACUGCCCGGUAGCUAAAUGCGGAAGAGAUAAGUGCUGAAAGCAUCUAAGCACGAAACUUGCCCCGAGAUGAGUUCUCCCUGACCCUUUAAGGGUCCUGAAGGAACGUUGAAGACGACGACGUUGAUAGGCCGGGUGUGUAAGCGCAGCGAUGCGUUGAGCUAACCGGUACUAAUGAACCGUGAGG
RNAcentral lists this ribosomal RNA (2500 nucleotides) under Shigella sonnei. RNAcentral describes it as "partial 23S ribosomal RNA". It matches the Rfam family "Bacterial large subunit ribosomal RNA", at positions 436 to 2915 of the family's 2925-position model. The record is from RNAcentral. Lineage: Bacteria; Pseudomonadati; Pseudomonadota; Gammaproteobacteria; Enterobacterales; Enterobacteriaceae.